This 217-nucleotide unclassified non-coding RNA is filed under the name plant metagenome. RNAcentral's name for it is "partial contains small subunit ribosomal RNA, internal transcribed spacer 1, and 5.8S ribosomal RNA". The stretch from base 169 to 217 matches the Rfam family "5.8S ribosomal RNA", at positions 1 to 49 of the family's 154-position model. The record is from RNAcentral.
UCUCCGUUGGUGAACCAGCGGAGGGAUCAUUACCGAGUUUACAACUCCCAAACCCCUGUGAACAUACCUAUCGUUGCCUCGGCGGUGCCCGCUCCGGCGGCCCGCCAGAGGACCCCCAAACUCUUGUUUUAUACAGUAUCUUCUGAGUAACACGAUUAAAUAAAUCAAAACUUUCAACAACGGAUCUCUUGGUUCUGGCAUCGAUGGAGAACGCAGC